GACGAACGCUGGCGGCGUGCUUAACACAUGCAAGUCGAACGGAAAGGCCCUGCUUUUGUGGGGUGCUCGAGUGGCGAACGGGUGAGUAACACGUGUGUAACCUGCCCUUGACUUUGGGAUAACUUUAGGAAAAUGGGGCUCAUACCGGAUAGGAGCUCCUGCUGCGCGGUGUGGGAUGGAAAGUUUCGGCGGUUGUGGCUGGACUCGCGGCUUAUGCGCUUGUUGGUGGGGUAGGUGCUUACCAAGGCUUCGAAGGGUAGCCGGCCUGAGAGGUUGACCGGGCACAUGAGGACUGAGGGACGGCCCAGAAGCGUACGGGAGGCAGCGGUGGAGAAUAUGGCACAGUGGGCGGGAGCGUGUGGCAGCAACGCCGCGUGCGUGAUGACGGCCUUCGAGUUGUAAACCGCUGUCGCCGGAGACGAAGCGUUAGUGACGGUAAUGGGUAAAGAAGCACCGGCUAACUACGUG
RNAcentral lists this ribosomal RNA (468 nucleotides) under uncultured bacterium. RNAcentral describes it as "partial 16S ribosomal RNA". It matches the Rfam family "Bacterial small subunit ribosomal RNA", at positions 28 to 507 of the family's 1533-position model. The record is from RNAcentral.